UAGGAAAUCUAAACCAGACAGUACAAGGGUACAUUUCAGCGUUACAAGCCAAUCAGUUUGCUAAUUGUUCUGUGAGAUUUGUUUGCAAAGUUUAAGGUGUUAAAGCAGGAGCUGGCAUUCUGCCAGAGCCUCAGCAACAAGACCGCCUCCCAGCAACGAGACUGCCUGUCAGCCUUGCAAGGUACCCAAUUUUCCAAUUACUCUAUAACAAAACUGUUGUGGGCAACAAGACUGUCUCCUAUGUUUGCAAGCCAAUCACUUUGUUCUUGUAAGAUUUGUUUGAAAAGUUUGAGGUGGUAACUGUGAGCUGUGAACAUCCGGGUUUGCUUGCUGCUGGCAUUCGACCAGCGUCUCAGCAACAACACUGCCUCCCAGCUUUGCAAGGUAAUUACUUUCCCAAUUACUGUACACCAAAAUGGACUAACUGUCGUGGUCAACAAAUCUGCCUCCCAACUUUCAAGAUGCCGAGAAAAAAUAAAAGAUCCCAGGCACAAAAGAAGCGCUGGAAACCACUUGACUUGGUCGAUCCUGCUGUCCCAAUGCUCACUGGCCACAACCAAGAUGAGGCAGUCAGUCGUUUUCCAUCUGACCAGCAGACGGCACCAGCCAGGUUAUCUUUGGAAACACAGGAUAGACCCACCUCCUUAUGUUCCCCAGGUCCCAAGACAGCACCAGCCAGCUUGUCCUUGGAAACGGAGAAUAGACCCACCUCCUUAUGUCCUCCAGGCAGCAAGAUUUCAGACACUCGUCCACCAGCAAAACGAGUCUGGGCAACCGAUGAUUUCCACACGGCAUCAAUUCUCCACCUAAAAAGGUAACCCUAACCCUAUGUAUAGUCACCGGGGUUGAUAUUUAGUCUUUCACCUUAAGUGUGCUUGCUAACUCGUACUAAAUAUACUAAAUGUUAGACUAAACAUGUACAUUUGUCAAUUUCUUUCAUCAGACUCCUAAAAUGCAGACAUCUCAACAGCUGUCUGUUUAGCUGUUUCUAUAUCUAUUGUUCUGAAAAAACAUUUAUACCAUUUUAUACUUAAAGCUUCAGAUAAAUUGACAUCCACAGUGAAAAGCAGUGCAAAUAAAUACAAACAUUUUGUGACACUGAUCUUUUCUCAAGAUGAAUGUCAGUGUGUUCUGUUUCAAUCACAUUUAACCUGUAACUGAAUUUUGUGUCAUUUCUUUACAAAACGUAACACAACUAUGAAACGUGUUUUUAUGGCACAUGUACAGAACCAUCUGGUUUAAUCUGAAAUCAGUGAUUGAAUUACAUCUAAUUUAAGAGCAUCUGAAAUCCUCUUACGAAUAAUACGUAAACAGGAUUUCCUUUCAUAUAUUUGUAUUUAGGCUGCAAUUUAGUUGAUGUUUGAAGGCCCGCAUCAACCUAAAAUGUGUUAUACUGAAAGAAAUUAACUGCUUUAAAAAUAUGAGGAGCAGAAGGUACAGGUAUGACCUUUGUAAAAGGUCAUUAAAAAAACAGCUCUAAAGCAAAUUACAGAUAUCUAAAAUAUUUAUCAUUUUUACUUCCCACCUCUGCUCUCUCUCACUGUCCUGUCUUUCUGGCUUAUCUGAUGCUGUGUAUCUUUAGAUUAUGCUGUAAUAUGAUUGAGGAGUGAUAUAAUUUGGCUUGAACAUUGUUUCA
Molecule: long non-coding RNA, 1636 nt
Filed under: Oreochromis niloticus (Nile tilapia)
Lineage: Eukaryota; Metazoa; Chordata; Actinopteri; Cichliformes; Cichlidae
Description: lncRNA (ENSONIG00000031726.1)
Source: RNAcentral